Molecule: ribosomal RNA, 417 nt
Filed under: uncultured bacterium
Lineage: Bacteria
Description: partial 16S ribosomal RNA
Rfam family: Bacterial small subunit ribosomal RNA
Source: RNAcentral
UNAUAGUAGGGGCCAGCGUUUNCGGAAUANUGGNGUAAAGGGUACGCAGCGGUUACCAAGUNGAUUGAAUUUUNUAGNUCACUACNAAACGUGCCCCCAAACUGCUAACUGAGUAAGGAGAGGUAAGUGGNAUUCCCUGGUGUAGCGGUGGAAUGCGUAGAUAUCAGGAGGAAUACCGGUGGCGAAGGCGACUUACUGGACUUAUACUGACGCUGAGGUACGAAAGCGUGGGGAGCAAACAGGAUUAGAUACCCUGGUAGUCCACGCCGUAAACGAUGAGUGCUAGGUGUCGGGGGUCAAACCUCGGUGCCGACGUUAACACAUUAAGCACUCCGCCUGGGGAGUACGUGCGCAAGCAUGAAACUCAAAGGAAUUGACGGGGGCCCGCACAAGCGGUGGAGCAUGUGGUUUAAUUCG